GAGUAACUUCCUACUUUGGCAGACCAGUGAGUGCCAGUUAUAUUCUCCAGAUGCAUUGUGGCCAGAAAUUGGUUUAUGGCACUUGGUGUGGGCAGUAUUAAACUUCCAGAGAAACCAUUCUUAUUUGGAAAGGAAAAAGCAUCAGUUGUAACGAGUUAAUACUGCAGAACAAUAUCUUGUCACACAUUUCAUGUGAUAAUUCUGUUCUUGCCACUGAAUUCUUCUGGUAGUUGGUAAGCUUAAGGAUGUGACACAGAAAGCUUAAAUUUUCAAGCAUGGG
RNAcentral lists this unclassified non-coding RNA (280 nucleotides) under Hevea brasiliensis (rubber tree). The record is from RNAcentral. Lineage: Eukaryota; Viridiplantae; Streptophyta; Magnoliopsida; Malpighiales; Euphorbiaceae.